AGAGUUUGAUUAUGGCUCAGAUUGACGCUGGGCGGCAGCCCUAACACAUGCAGUUCGAACGUUAACAGAAAGCAGCUUGCUGCUUUGCUGACGAGUGGCGGACGGGUGAGUAAUGUCUGGGAAACUGCCUGAUGGAGGGGGAUAACUACUGGAAACGGUAGCUAAUACCGCAUAACGUCGCAAGACCAAAGAGGGGGACCUUCGGGCCUCUUGCCAUCGGAUGUGCCCAGAUGGGAUUAGCUAGUAGGUGGGGUAACGGCUCACCUAGGCGACGAUCCCUAGCUGGUCUGAGAGGAUGACCAGCCACACUGGAACUGAGACACGGUCCAGACUCCUACGGGAGGCAGCAGUGGGGAAUAUUGCACAAUGGGCGCAAGCCUGAUGCAGCCAUGCCGCGUGUAUGAAGAAGGCCUUCGGGUUGUAAAGUACUUUCAGCGGGGAGGAAGGGAGUAAAGUUAAUACCUUUGCUCAUUGACGUUACCCGCAGAAGAAGCACCGGCUAACUCCGUGCCAGCAGCCGCGGUAAUACGGAGGGUGCAAGCGUUAAUCGGAAUUACUGGGCGUAAAGCGCACGCAGGCGGUUUGUUAAGUCAGAUGUGAAAUCCCCGGGCUCAACCUGGGAACUGCAUCUGAUACUGGCAAGCUUGAGUCUCGUAGAGGGGGGUAGAAUUCCAGGUGUAGCGGUGAAAUGCGUAGAGAUCUGGAGGAAUACCGGUGGCGAAGGCGGCCCCCUGGACGAAGACUGACGCUCAGGUGCGAAAGCGUGGGGAGCAAACAGGAUUAGAUACCCUGGUAGUCCACGCCGUAAACGAUGUCGACUUGGAGGUUGUGCCCUUGAGGCGUGGCUUCCGGAGCUAACGCGUUAAGUCGACCGCCUGGGGAGUACGGCCGCAAGGUUAAAACUCAAAUGAAUUGACGGGGGCCCGCACAAGCGGUGGAGCAUGUGGUUUAAUUCGAUGCAACGCGAAGAACCUUACCUGGUCUUGACAUCCACGGAAGUUUUCAGAGAUGAGAAUGUGCCUUCGGGAACCGUGAGACAGGUGCUGCAUGGCUGUCGUCAGCUCGUGUUGUGAAAUGUUGGGUUAAGUCCCGCAACGAGCGCAACCCUUAUCCUUUGUUGCCAGCGGUCCGGCCGGGAACUCAAAGGAGACUGCCAGUGAUAAACUGGAGGAAGGUGGGGAUGACGUCAAGUCAUCAUGGCCCUUACGACCAGGGCUACACACGUGCUACAAUGGCGCAUACAAAGAGAAGCGACCUCGCGAGAGCAAGCGGACCUCAUAAAGUGCGUCGUAGUCCGGAUUGGAGUCUGCAACUCGACUCCAUGAAGUCGGAAUCGCUAGUAAUCGUGGAUCAGAAUGCCACGGUGAGUACGUUCCCGGGCCUUGUACACACCGCCCGUCACACCAUGGGAGUGGGUUGCAAAAGAAGUAGGUAGCUUAACCUUCGGGAGGGCGCUUACCACUUUGUGAUUCAUGACUGGGGUGAAGUCGUAACAAGGU
Molecule: ribosomal RNA, 1499 nt
Filed under: uncultured bacterium
Lineage: Bacteria
Description: bacterial SSU rRNA
Rfam family: Bacterial small subunit ribosomal RNA
Source: RNAcentral